RNAcentral lists this ribosomal RNA (253 nucleotides) under uncultured bacterium. Its description in RNAcentral is "partial 16S ribosomal RNA". It matches the Rfam family "Bacterial small subunit ribosomal RNA", at positions 524 to 776 of the family's 1533-position model. The record is from RNAcentral.
UACGUAGGGUGCAAGCGUUAAUCGGAAUUACUGGGCGUAAAGCGUGCGCAGGCGGUCUUGCAAGUCAGAUGUGAAAUCCCCGGGCUCAACCUGGGAACUGCAUUUGUGACUGCAAGGCUGGAGUACGGUAGAGGGGGAUGGAAUUCCGCGUGUAGCAGUGAAAUGCGUAGAUAUCGAGUGGAACACCGGUGGCGAAGGCGGCUUUCUGGACAGGUACUGACGCUGAGACGCGAAAGCGUGGGGAGCAAACAGG